Molecule: ribosomal RNA, 228 nt
Filed under: uncultured bacterium
Lineage: Bacteria
Description: partial 16S ribosomal RNA
Rfam family: Bacterial small subunit ribosomal RNA
Source: RNAcentral
CGGGUGAGUAAUGUAUGGGGAUCUGCCUGAUGGCGGGGGAUAACUACUGGAAACGGUAGCUAAUACCGCAUAACGUCGCAAGACCAAAGAGGGGGACCUUCGGGCCUCUUGCCAUCGGAUGUGCCCAGAUGGGAUUAGCUAGUAGGUGGGGUAAUGGCUCACCUAGGCGACGAUCCCUAGCUGGUCUGAGAGGAUGACCAGCCACACUGGAACUGAGACACGGUCCAG